UUCCAUGCGAGUAUGUUAUCUACGUUCUGACGGUAACAGAUAAUAUAUCUCAGGCGCUCUUUGGUCGAAGUCUUUUGUUCUUCCCUAGUCGAGUGAGAUUCGUAUUCCCUUUCUGUGGAAUUGAAUGCCCAUCAUGUAAUCGAGUCUGCGUUUUAGCCCUCUUUUGGAUGAUGAGUGUCUUGGAAAUAUUCCCCAAUUCACGCUUGGUAGGUCACCUAUUAUACGCCCAGUAACCGGUAUCCCUGGUGUUC
RNAcentral lists this long non-coding RNA (251 nucleotides) under Lathyrus oleraceus (garden pea). RNAcentral's name for it is "Pisum sativum (pea) long non-coding RNA (PSAT_LNC038947)". The record is from RNAcentral. Lineage: Eukaryota; Viridiplantae; Streptophyta; Magnoliopsida; Fabales; Fabaceae.